UUUUUUUUUUUUAAUAGCAGCAUCUAUUUAAACCUGCUGAUGAGUUGAGGUUGAGUCAGGCUGACAUCUUCCACUGUAAAAUUAUUUCAGAUGUUGUUUUUACUCUUUGAUGUGACAUGUGGUUUAAUUCUGCUUCCUGUUCAGUAGACAGUCUUGCUGCUCUCAAAUGCACAUCAGAUACUGUACUUGAGAAGAGAAUCCUUUUAAUCUGCACCAACAGAGCAUAAACAACACAGAUGCAAACAGAUACACACAGUAAUAAAGACAAUCACAUUUCAUAGUGAGAUUUCCACCAGAUGUGUGUGUGCAUGACAAUUUUCACUUGUAGGAAACUAAAUUAUUCACUUGUGACACAUUUUGCACGUACACAGUAGGAUUCCAACAAUGGUUUCCAGGUGAGAAAUUUCACUUCUGUGUUGCAACGGUUUGAUUUACAGGAAAACACAAGCACAAAAUCGAGUCAACACUAACAGACACACAGGCAACGGUGAAACACUGAUGAAAAAAUUAUUUUGUUGAGCUGAUUUGAUCAUUUUAAAGUCAAUAGAACCCAAUCAAUCAUUUAUAUGCGUAUUACAUUGAAUUACAAGGCACAAUAACAGCAAAGUCUAGCUACUCAUCUGACACAUACAGCAGUUAAAAUGUCUUAAAUAAACUCUAAAAUCAUUGCUCUAAUGUCCUUAAUUGGGCUUAGCAGGAUGAUUUCGCAGCACAGACAAAAGAUUACAGAUCAUUUUCAUAGAUGUGAUGCUGAGGCUGGAGACUCGGAUCUGUUGUGCUCUGAGAUUUUCCUGUUCAGUGGAAAACAAGUUUUGCGUGCCAGAUGAGAUUUUAUCCUUUGAGCAGGAGGUCUGCAAGAGGACUGACCCAGUUACUGUAUGUAAACGUCCAAAACUCUCACCUUUACAUGCUCGCUUUGGUAUGAUCCAGAUAGAUAUCCCUAUGAUGACAAGCACCAUGAGCCCAACAGUGCGGUACACAAAUGGCCAGAAAAUGUCCACAGCUGCUGUGUUAACUGCAAAAUAAAAAAGGAAAUUUAGAAGGAAACCUCUUUUGGACACUUGUCUUAUAAACUGUAAGCCAUACAAGGCAUGUGAACCAGCAAUAACACAAUGAAAAGGACCAGCGUGUAGGAUUUAGUGGCAGAGGUUUCAGAUUGCAAGC
Long non-coding RNA from Amphiprion ocellaris (clown anemonefish), 1164 nucleotides. The record is from Ensembl. Lineage: Eukaryota; Metazoa; Chordata; Actinopteri; Pomacentridae.